GCAAGUUUUGAAGGCUCCCAAUGGAUUCAGGUAAUGUCACCAAAGAUCUUAGAUUUGAUAGGUUUAAGUCAUGCAGGUUUUUGAGAUCACAUAACGAUGAGGGUAAUGAUUCUAGAGAAUAGCAUUCAGAAACGUUCAGAAUACGCAAGUUUUGAAGGCUCCCAAUAGAUUCAGGUAAUGUCACCAAAGAUUUUAGACACGAUAGGUUUAAGUCAUGCAGGUUUUUGAGAUCACAUAACGAUGAGGGUAAUGAUUUUAGAGAAAAGCUGUUCGAAAGGUCCAGAAUACGCAAGUUUUGAAGGCUCCCAAUGGAUUCAGGUAAUGUCACCAAAGAAUUUAGACACGAUAGGUUUAAGUUACACAGGUUUUUGAGAGCACAUAAUGAUGAGGGUAACCAUUUUAGACAACAGCACCUAGAAAGGUUCAGAACACGCAAGUUUUGAAGGCUCCCAAUGGAUUCAGGUAAUGCCACCAAAGAGUCUAUAUUUGACAGGUCUAGGUAAUGCAGGUUUUUGAGGUGACAUAUAGGUUCAAGUGAUAUCACAUUUUCGCACAAACUCAAAUUUAGUGCGUACAAAUUCUGAAGGUUGCUAAUGGAGGUCAGAGAUAGGCAACCUCCUAAAUCUAAAAUCCGCAAAUUCGUAAGCCUUCCUAGAAAUUUGGGUAGUGUACGGAUCUUGCGGCAGCUUGAAAGAUUCAAGGUUUGCAAGUUGCAGAGGCCGGUAAUUGAUUUAGGCAAUUUUUCUAUAUCGGUCCCCGAAAGGUCGAGGUAUCUUAAGAGCUUCAACUUACCGAUUGAGCUUGGCAGCAUAGAAAUUUUGGAAUCACAUAAUUCCAACAAGCGUAAGCAUUUUGCCUCGCUAUAAAAGGCCAUAAUAAGUGAACUAGAUUCCCUAAACUGAAGAGCUCGCAACCUCCGCUUUACGGUAAUUGAAACAUCUGGCGUGCAACAACUGUGUAUCGAGACAUAGCGGCAGCCUUCCGUGAUCCUUAUCGACUCUUCUCCACCUAUAACAGCAACUUCUUCUUUUGCCACACCUAUAACAGCAACUUCUUCUUUUGCCACAGAUUGUGCGAGGUCGUGCACUAAAUCAUGCAUACGGCAGAUGGUAACAUUUCUAUAAUUUUUCCCCACGUCUUGAAGAAAAGACAUCCAUAAUAAAUUGUUAAAGUACUUAUUCCCAAUAUCUUCCAUCGAAGUCCAUGUUUCUUGCGAUGAAAUGAAGCCUAAAGCAAUCCAUUGCCGGAUCAAGUCAUCCUUGUUAAUCUUGUAGUCCUUGGGGAAUAUGGAGCAGUAAGCAAAGCACUGCUUCAAAGCCGACGGCAUCUGAAUAUAGCUCAAUUUUAAUGAUGGUAAAAUAAUUCUUUCUUCCGACCUCGAUAUUUCGCUUUCUUCCGACCUCCAUAUUUCACUAUCUCUAAUAGCGGACCAUGCAUCCUCUGUCCUGCUCUUAAAGCGCAUCAUACUUCCUAAAGCAUUCGCUGCUAAAGGCAAGCCACCACACUUCUUAACUAUCUGCUUUCCAAUUUCCACCAAAGUCGGAUAGCCGUUCUCUUCCCCUUCCUUGAAUGCCAGCCUUUUGAACAAUGUCCAACAAUCAUCAUCCGAUAAGCCUUUCACACGGUGUGGUUCGACUGUUCCCAUUAUCUCGGCAACCUUUUCGCUUCGUGUGGUUACUAAGAUUUUACUUCCCUGCCUGCCGUCCUUAAAUACAACCUUCAAACCAUUCAAACCAUUCCACUUCUGCUGAUCUUCGUUCCAUACAUCAUCCAACACCAGCAAGAAUCUCUUCUGGCUAAAGAUCCUGUCGAGAAAACUCGAGGCGGAUUCCAAGGUGUCAAGAUUGCACUCCUCUUUGGUUUCGGUUGCGGAUUUGACCGACCUUGCAAUCGUCUUUCUGUCGAAAUCGGUAGACACGCAGAUCCACACCCGUAGAUCGAAGGGCUGCUGGCCCGUAACCCGCCCGUCGGCGAAGGCCAGCCGAGCGAGCGUCGUCUUCCCCAAACCCCCCAAUCCCACGAUCGGAAUGACCGACACGUUGUGAUCGCAGCCCGUCUCCAGCAGUAGCUUCACAAUUUUCUCUUUAUCAUCAUCUCUCCCAACUAUUUCCUUUUCAUCGAAGAGCGAGGAUGUCUCACGGGGCUUGAACUCAGCCUGCCGACCAGGGCCAGCUUCGGCAAGACCGAAAUCAUUUCUUUGUUUCGCUAUCUUACCAAUCUUUUCUCUGAGCUCUUUCAUCCUGUGUGCCAUCUCGCGCUUAAACUUCAGAUGCAUCGGAUUAGCGCGGGACAGAAAUCCACGUACCUUUUCAGCUUCCGUCCGGAUCUCGUCCAGCAGGUCGUCGGCGUCGUAGGCGGCGUCCUUCAGUUNCAGAUUGUGCGAGGUCGUGCACUAAAUCAUGCAUCCGACAGGUGGUAACCUUUCUAUAAUUUUCCUUCACGUCUUGAAGGAAAGACAUCCAUAAUAGAUUGUUAAAGUACUGAUUCCCGAUAUCUUCCGUCGAAGUCCAUGUUUCAUGCGAUGAAAUGAAGCCUAAAGCAAUCCAUUGCCGGAUCAAGUCAUCCUUGUCAAUCUCAUAGUCUUUGGGGAAUAUGAAGCAGUAAGCGAAGCACUGCUUCAAAGCCGACGGCAUCUGAAUGUAGCUCAAUUUUAAUGAUGGUAAAAUAGUUCUUUCUUCCAACCUCCAUAUUUCGCUUUCUUCCAACCUCCAUAUUUCACUUUCUUCAAUAGCGGACCAUGCAUCCUCCGUCCUGUUCUUUGAAUACAUCAUACUUCCUAAAGCAUUCGCUGCUAAAGGCACGCCGCCGCACUUCUUUACUAUCUGCUUUCCGAUUGCGACCAAACUUGGAUAGUCGUUCUCUUCCCCAUCAUCGAAUGCCAGCCUUUUGAACAAUGUCCAACAAUCAUCAUCUGAUAAGCCUUUCACACGGUGUGGUUCGACUGUUUUCAUUAUCGCGGCGACCUUUUCGCUUCGUGUGGUCACUAAGAUUUUACUUCCCUGCUUGCUGUCCUUAAAUAAAUCCUUCAGUUUCUCCCACUUUUCCUGAUCUUCGUUCCAUACAUCGUCCAGCACCAGCAAACAUCUGAUCUGGCUAAAGAUCUUGACAAGGCACCUCGCGAUGGUGUCCAUGUUGUCAAGAUCAUCACAAUUCUCGACAAGGCGCCUCGUGACAUCACAUUUCUGUCGAGCUGCAGUUAUCACCCGCUUUCCAAUUGUCUUCGUGUCGAAAUCGGUAGACACGCAGACCCACGCCCGUAGAUCGAAGCGCUGCUGGCCCGUAACCCGCCCGUCGUUGAAGGCCAGCUGAGCGAGCGUCGUCUUCCCCAAACCCCCCAAUCCCACGAUCGGAAUGACCGACACGUCGUGAUCGCCGUUAGUCUCUAGGAGAAGCUUCACAAUUUUCUCCUUAUCACCAUCUCUCCCUACUAUUCUCUUUUCGUUGACGACCGAGUAUGUGUCAGGGCGUUUGAACUCAGCCUUCCGAACAGGGCCAGCUUCGGCAAGACCGAAAUCAUUUCUUUGUUUCGCGAUCUUACCGAUCUUUUCUCUGAGCUCUUUCAUCCUGUGUGCCAUCUUGACCUUAAACUUCAGAUGCAUCGGAUUAGCGCGGGACAGAAAUCCACGUACCUUUUCAGCUUGCGUCCGGAUCUCGUCCAGCAGGUCGUCGGCGUCGCAGGCGGCGUCCUUCAGUUUGCGCAGCCAGUGGCGCAGAGCGUGGCUCUCCUUCCCAGCGCUGCUCCGCUCCUCGGCGUCGAGAAGCACCGCCUGGAUCGCCGAGAAGUUGCUUCUGAGAUCGUCCGCGUCGUCCUUGAAGCUCCGCAGCAGCCCGAUUUCGUCCCAGAGAGCGGAGCCCAGCUUGCCCAGCACUCCUUUGACCAGAUCGAAUGCGAUCCCCUCCGCCAUUGCUAUUACCAAAGCAGCUAGCUAGCUAUGUGCUUCUUCUCAAUACAAACGUCCUAGCAGAGAAUAUAUGGGGAUGAUAGGUGGUUGCUCCAAUUAUCGUGCUGCUGCUCUGGUAACUACGCUUGGGAAUCGUUGACCAUUUGCACGCUAGUCCCACGAUCGUCUUUAAUUAUCCUAUUGUACAGAUUAUAAAAAUACGUGCUGUUGCUGCGGAUGAUAUAUAGGUGGUUGCUCCAAGCAGCUAGCCAUCUCGUCCCUCAAUGGCUCAAUCGUUGACCUUCACUUAUUUCCUCUUCCGGAGGGGAAAAAAAAAAACGCAAUGGAGAUGUUUCAGAUUUCUGAAAGAUGCUUAAAUGGUAUUAUUUAAGAAAUUAAAAAAGCAUGUUAAAAAGUUUUGAAUUUGAAUAAUUUGAAUCCGGAUUCAAAAAGGAAUAGUGAAUCUUAAGUUGAACCCCAAGAAAUUUUAAUUUUCAGAUCCNCUCAAAUGACUUAUUCAUGAACAGUAAUAUGCAAUAAAGAAAAAAGAGAGAGAGAAAUAAUACAUAUUCAUCCGACAUAGAAGGAGAGGAAUCUGCAUUAGCAGCUUCACUUAGACAAUUCGAAAGUUUUAUCCGAUGACUCCAUUUUGCCAUUCUGUAUCGAAAAAAUCUCCUAAUAUCAUCUAUGGUCUUCUCGAAAGAGGAUAAAAGAGGGCCUUAGACCAAGAACAGUCUCUUUCCUUUUAUAUAAAUAAAUAAAAUUAGGAAGAGUUCAGAAAUUUUGGGAUGCUAUUGGCUAUGAUAAUAAUAAAAAGACUCACUUUCUAAAGUUAAGCUUUCUAUCCUCCUUUAGGCUAUCAACGAAGCUUUAAUAACCAAGAGGUCUUGGCUUUUAUUACAUGCAUACCAUUAUUUAUUUGGAGUUUGAUAGUCAUGGCUAGCUUUUAUUACAUGCAUACCACUAUUUUGUAUUUGGGAGGUGAGAGGGGAGCAGUUUUGGAAGAUGAGAAGGUAGUAGUUUUGGGGAUUCAUUUAGUUUUAUUUCUUUUAUUAUGUUAUAUGUAUGGAGUUACAUGCAUAUAUAUUUAUAUUUCAAAACAGUUUUGGAAAAUGAAGAGGUAGUAGUUUUGGGAUUCAUUUAGUUUUAUUUUUUUUUAUAAAACUUUUAUUAUGUUAUAUGCAUGGAGUUACAUGUAUAUAUAUAUUUAUAUUUCAAACCAUCAUUAAAAACUUUUAUUAUGUUAUAUGCAUGGAGUGACAUGCAUAUAUAUAUUUAUAUUUCAAAUCAUCAUUAAAAAAUAUGAAAAAUCUAAAAAAAGAGAGCUUGCCAUGUCAUCAUUCUUAUUGAGGAUUCAUAUAGAGUUAUAGAUAUAUGCAGAGUGGGUUGGAAUGCUUAUGGAAGCACGGAGCCUCCCGUGCUUCCAAAUUGUUUUCGAUGUUCGGACUUUCGAAUCGACGAUCGGCUCCGUUAGAGUGGAUCUAGAUAUUUGAAAUACCUAGAAAAUAAAUUUUGUGAUUUUUCGAUAUCAUUUGCCUAAUGAUCGAAGAGGUUCAAAAUCAAUAAUUUUAAUGGCCUUGGUGAGCUGUUUGCAAGUUUAACGGUCUAGAAAUAUUCAAAUCACAUGAAAUUUUGAUAGAAAAUUUUUUAUACCAUAUAAAACAAGAUCAAUAACUUUGAUCUAAAUUUUUAAUGUCAUAUCAUCACAUUUUGUGAGAUUUUUAUUUUCAGCCGUUGAUUUUGAGCCCCUUCGAUUACUAGACAAAUGAUAUUGAAAAAUCACAAAAUUUAUUUUCUAGGUACUUCAAAUACUCUAGAUCAAGUCUAACGGAGCCGAUCGUCGAUUCGAAAGCCCCAACAUCGAAAACAAUUUAGAAGCACGGAGGCCUCCGUGCUUCCAUAAGCAUACCAGCCGCACUCUAUACAUGCAUAAAUAUAUGUUAAAUAAAGGUAUAUGAUAAGCAUCUAGUUGGCGAAAAAUUCUAAAAUGCAACGGGUAUAUUGGUGACGUGGCAUAACAAACCAAUCAAAUAUCUUUUUUUAGGGGUAUAUGUCCCAUCAUGAUUGUAAAAAAAUAUCUUUAUUGUAUUUUUGUUUGAAAAGAAGGAAUGUGAUUGGCUUGUUAUUGAUAACGUGGUGCAAAUGUGAUAGUGUAGAAUUCCUCAUGACUAGCUUAAUCGGAGAUGACCCUCGUAUAAUUGAAAGGGCGUAGUUAACAGGGUACCUAAGAGUACCCGGAAAGCGUAAACCCAUUUUUAUCUCUGAUGAUUGUUAUCUAUUGUGCUAUAUAUCUCUUUACUCGUUAUUAAAGAAUAUAUAGUUCAAAAAAAAUACAAAAUAAAAUAAGGGGAUAAAAAAAGUUGCGCCGUCAUAAAUUCUCACGUUCACCUUCACGUUUUAUUUAUUUAUUUAUUUAAAUUUUUCGUUUUUCCUAUUGUUCAUUUUUCGGGAAAACAAACGCGAAAUAAUUAUUUUCUCCAAAGACUUAAGCUGAUAAAUAAUUAUGUUUUUACAUUUCCUCACGUCUAAGUUCGACGUGGAGUUGAAUUAGCCGAGAGAAAAAUUAAUUAGGCUAGGAGCCUGGUAUAACUCAACCUUAGAAUUUUCUUAUUUGAUACCGUGUUAAAUUAUAUGAAACAAUAAUUUUCUUCAAAAACGUAAGUUCAUGGGGAAUAAUGUUUUUAUAUUUUUAUGUUUAACAAUCUAGCAUACAUGUAUCAAUGCCCUAUAAGGAUGCUUUGCUGAAUCCUGGACAGGGGCAGACCUACUGAGAGGCCGACAAUGGUCAUGGCCCCCUCAACUUUUUGAAAAUUACACAAGAGUUCCUAACUAUGACAUAGAAAAAACUUAAAUAUUAUAAAUUUUAGGGGCCAAAGUGAAAUCUUUUUGUAAAAAGUUUGUGCUGGUAUAAUAUAAAUAUAUUAUUUAUUCUCUUUAGUAACCGGAAUUAUUUACAAUUUACAAAGUAGGAUACUCUACAGUCACAAUGCAAAAGAAGGAGGAUGCCUUUCAGAUACAAAGCCACCUGCUGAAUUUCGAACUAAAAGUUGUAGAACUUACACAAAAGGAGGAUGCCUUUCAGAGUCUGCAAAGAGCUUAUAGUCUGUUUAUUGUUUUUAUUUGUUGCUACUCCUUUAUUUUGCUUUUUUAUUUUGCUUUGGUUUUUGUUCACUUUUGUUGUCACUUGAAGUAAAUCCUAAUGCAUCCAAGAUGCAUGUUGAUGGCAGCGAGAGAAAUGAAACUCUAGUAGGAUGAUGAAUCAAAACUUCAUGAAGGAGGAAUUUUUUUUUUAGACAUCAAUGUUAUUAAUCAAUUCUCUUCUAUUUAUGCACUCAUUCCAUUUAUGAUUUUGCAGCUUUACUAUUAUGCAGCUUUUCUUAAACUGUGAAGUGUAUGCCCAAUGAUGAUUCUACAUCAAAAGGCAAAUAUGUACGGAUUGCUUGAGACCAAUUUAGAUGCUAGCGUAGAACUAAAAGCAAUCUUAAAUACUACAGUUAUUUAGAAGUUUUAAGAUUGAAACUGUUUCAAUUUUUAACUUAGCUGCUAUUAGUCUAAACUCGUCAUCCAUCGACACCAAUAUCAGGUACAUCAACAGGAGAAGCAACUGCAGCAACAUCUCAAUUUCAAAAAAAAAAAAAAAUAGUAUUAAAGAGUGUCCAAAAUAAGCUGCUAACUCCAAAACUACUCAGAUUGAAGCAAAGAUCCAUCCAAUACUUAAAAUGUUUUUUUUUUAAAAAAAAACACCUAAUUAACUUGAACCAUUUAUUUGAAUAUUUUUGCAUAACACCUGGCUUGAACCAUUCAAUUAAUUUUUCGACGAAACACCUUGCUUUUGAAGCAUACAUAUCCAACAACGCAUUUCACUACAUAAUGCAUCAAUCCAUAACAAACUAUAAAUAUCACGAAUGGAUCCAUGCGAUACAUAAAUGCACUUGGUAGUUCAUACAUAAACAUCUCUUGCUAAUUAAGGCUUUGUCUCCUUUUUUCGCUCCACAAUUAUAUGCAGCCAUGUUUCUUUCUAUCUAUUGAGAGCUCAAAUUUCCUUUAUCUUAAUCAACCAUAUUCGGAUCUAGGUGUGGGGGGGAUGCUCUGUUCUUCACGACGAAGAAAGACCCCCCGCUUUGCAGAGGUCAUAUUGUUGUUGUUGUUGUUGUGUGUCUUAUUUUUGGGGAUAAAAGUGUAUGUAAUAAAUCUGAAAGUUUUGUCAUUUAAAAUUAAUUACCUAAUAUUUAAAAACUUUAAAUUAAUUUUACUCCCUAUUCUUUAAACGCUUUACAAUUUUGUUUUAUCAAAAAUCACUGCCCACACCUGGUGCAUCCAAACAGGUGUGCACCAGGGUUUUAUUCAUCCUUCAUUUUUUUCUUAUUUUAUUCCAGCCAUUUUAAUUUGUAAGUAUAAAAAAUUACAGACUUUGUUUGUGGCACCUGGUGGUUAGAAGCAAUAUUUCUAUAUUUUGAAUGGUCCAAAAACUUAGCUUUAAAGCCCUUUUAAUCUAUCCUCCUCUGAAGCUAUAAAAUUGUGUUUAAUUAUUACUGAAGAAACUAUGCGGUUAUAUUUGUGCGAUACCUUAAUAUUUCAUCCAUAUGUUUGAUUUUCAUAGAAUAUUUUUUCCGAUUGUUACAUUGAAAAUAUAGUAUACACCAAGGAUCAAUUAUGGCAUACUGUAUUUUCUAAAGGAAAAAAAAAAAGAAAAAAAAAGGCAGAGUGCACAUGCACUGGGUAUAUAAUUGGCAAUAAUUUCAUGAAACUCAAAUCAGAAAGAAUAGACAACAAAUCAAAAAAUUUUAAAAAUUUCACGGUUAUAUUUCCAAUAAAAUAAAAUUUAAGUUAAUUUCGUACAAUUUUCCUUUUUGUACUGUUGGUCCCAAAUGUUAGGUACUCGAAAAUGCUUUAUGGCAAUAAUAAUAAUAAUGAUAAUUUAACAUAUUUUGAAGUAAAUAUCUCUUUUAAUUUUCCGGAUUUCCUGAAUAAAAAGUAAAAAUUUAUAUAACUUACCCCAACUGUCAGUUAUUUUAAUAUAAUUAUCUAAUCUUUAAAAAAUUUAAUUUGCUAUAUAAUCUUUUAAUUUAUUUGAUUUAAAUCAAACUAAUGACUCUUUAGUUUUAAAAUUUAAACAUAUUUUUAAUUACGCAGAUAUAAAUUUAUGAAAAUGAAUAAUUAUUCUAAAUUUUAUAUUGAGAAAGAAAUCAAAUCACUUAAAUCAAACAAAUUAAAAUGUGCAACAGCAUAAAUCGAUAUUUCCAUUUAUACCACAUGUUUUGUGAAAACCUAACCGGAAAACAGCUCACUUCCGUUGACUCAGUUUGAUUUUAGUAAUAAAUUGAUUUCGGAUUUGGGGAAUUAAAAACUAAAAAUCUCGCGAAAAGCAAAAUAAUAAAAUUUUAGUACUUCAAUAUAUAUCAGCUUCAGAUCCAAUCAAAUAAAAGAAAGGGCUUUUUUUGCAAAUAGCCCCCUCACAAAUAUUUAUUUUAAAAUUGGUCCUGUCAAAAUUUAAUUUGCAAAAAUGAUCCUGAUCCUGCCACGCAAGCGCCACCUCAGCGCCACGCGGGCGGGGCUGGGCCAGGUGUUUAAGUUAAACACGGUGAAUUAUUCACCGUGUCCAAUACAAAUAGGUAUUUGUAUUAGACACGGUGAAUGAUUCACCGUGUCCAACAUAAAUAGGUAUUUGUAUUGGACACGGUGAAUGGUUCACCGUGUCCAAUACAACUAUUUGGGACUUGGCCAUUUUUUGGCUAAGUAGGUAUUUGUAUUGGACACGGUAAAUGAUUCACCGUGUUCAACAUUGCCCCAACCCCGCCUGCGUGGCGCUGACGUGGCGCCCAUGUGGAAGGGACAAGGCCAUUUUUGCAAUUUAAAUUUUGACAGGGCCAUUUUUGAAAUAAAAUUUUUUCAGGAGGCUAUUUGCAAAAAAAAGCCCUAAAAGAAAUGAUAAAAUAAAAAUAAAAAUGUAUGGAAACCCUCUCAAGUGCAGUAUAUAUAUAUAUAUAUAUAUAUAUAUAGAGUUGAGCUAGAAUACUCUCGAUAGUAAACAGGGUGUUUUACUAUCGAGUUGUUUUCGAUGAUAGAGCUUCCANUCUAACUUUUCGCCAUGUUUAUUAUAUUAAAUCCUUAUAGAAUUCAAAAGGAUACUUUAACCUUUUUGAUAAAAUAUUUUAAAAUUUAAUAAAAAAAUAUUUUUUUAUUUUAUGAAACAUUUUGCACUUCGUUUAACGGAAGAGACUAAAUUCUAAAAGGAUCUAACAAAUCUUCCAAAGAAAAUUUCUUAUAUCAAAAUCGAAUUAAAAUCGAAAUUCAUAAAGCCCAAUUGGCCACUUUCAAAGUGCAGUGUAAUUUAGAUAAUAUAUAAUAUCUUUUUACCUCCGGAUAAUAGCUAGGUACAUAUACUUGUGCUCUCCUCGCUAACCAAUCUUCUUCUCCACCUUCACUGAGCUCUCUUCCUCCUGUGGCGAGCUGCUCGCUUGUUUUUUGUACCAGUAAGAACUACACCACAACAACACAAAAUGGUUAUUUUUUAUCCGACGCUCAUGCAACAUGUGCUGUACAUUUUACUUAGACAUUUUAAUAAUGUAUGAUAUAUAAGAUACCUAAUUUCAAUUUGUAAAGAAAAAUAUCCCAGAAUUCAAAUAGUAUAUCAACAAUAUCACCGAAAAUAAUUACUUUGUAAAUACUAUAUAUCGUUCAAGUAGAAAUUUUCUGGCAUCUCAAAUCGCUACAAAUUAAGAAAAGAUUAGAAUUUCAUUAAUUAGUCUAUGCACAUGCAAGAGACCACUUGAAAAUUUUUCCAGGAAACCAACCAUGUUUUCGAAUAUCUGAAUUGCACUUUUGAUAUUGAAAUGUAGUUUAAUGUGUUUUCAUUUUGCCGCAGUACGUUUUAAAUAGUUUUACUUGAAAAUCCUAUGAUUUUAUAUAUAUAUAUAUAUAUAUAUAUAUAUAUAUAUNUUUUAUUUUGCUUUGGUUUUUGUUCACUUUUGUUGUCACUUGAAGUAAAUCCUAAUGCAUCCAAGAUGCAUGUUGAUGGCAGCGAGAGAAAUGAAGCGAGUAGGAUGAUGACUCAAAACUUCAUGAAGGAGAAAUUUUUUUUAGACAUCAAUGUUAUUAAUCAAUUAAUUCUCUUCUAUUUAUGCACUCAUUCUAUUUAUGAUUUUGCAGCUUUACUAUUAUGCAGCUUUUCUUAAACUGUGAAGUGUAUGCCCAAUGAUGAUUCUCCAUCAAAAGGCAAAUAUGUACGGAUUGCUUGAGACCAAUUUAGAUGCUGAGCUAAAACUAAAAGCAAUCUUAAAUACUAUUAUUAUUUAGAAGUUUUAAGAUUGAAACUGUUUCAAUUUUUAACUUAGCUGCUAUUGGUCUAAACUCAUCAUUCAAAGACACCAGUAGCAUCACCCAGUACAUCAACAAGAGGAGCAACUGUAGUAACAACUCUAUUUCAAAAAAUAAUAUUACAAAGUAUCCAAAACAAGCUGUUUACUUCAAAACUGCUCAGAUUGAAGCAAAGAUCCAUCCAAUACUUAACAAGUAUUUUUUUAAAAAAAACCCUAACUUGAACCAGAAUCUUUUGGCAACACACCUAGCUUAAACCAUUCGAUUAAUUUUUUGGCGAAACACCUAGCUUUUGAAGCAUACGUACACAUUGCACUGUUUAAUGCAUUCAUAACAAACUGCAAAUAUCACUAAUGAAUCCAAACAGUACAGGUAGGAAAGUAUAACCGUUACCAAGUUACCAUACAUAAAUGCACUUGUUAAUUUAUCGUACAUAAAACAUCUCUUGCUAAUUAAGGUUUUAUCACCUUUUUUAUUUUAAAAAAGCCUUUGCUCCACAAUUGUAUGCAGCAAGUUUUUGUUCUAUCUAUUGGAGAGCCAAAAUUUUCUCUCUUAAUCAACUAAAAUCGUAUCUUGGUGCACGGGAUGCCCUGUUCUUUAUGAGAAAGAAAGACCCUCUUUGCAGUGGUCAUGUUGUUGUUGUUGUUGCUGUGUUUUAUUUUUGGGUAUAAAAAUGUACUUAAUUAAUCUGAACUUUCAUAAUUUGAAAUUAAUUAUCUAAUAUUUAAAAAUUUAAAUUAAUUUGACUAUCUAUUCUUUAACGCUUUACGAUUUUGUUUUAUGAAAAAUCACUGCCUACACCUGGUGCAUCCAAACAGGUGUGCACCAAGGUUUUAUUCAUCCUUAAUAUUUUCUCUUUAUUUUAUUUCAUUCAUUUAAUUCGUAAGUAUAAAAAAUUGCAACUAACCCGACUUUCUUUAGGAACGUAGUGGUAAGAAGCAACAUUUUCAUAUUUUGAAAGGUCAAAAAAUUUUAAAGCUGCUUCUAAUCUUUUCUCCUCCGAAGCUAUAAAAUUGUGCUUAAUUGUUAUUAAAGAACUAUGCGGUUAUAUUUAUGCGAUACUUUAAUAUUUUAUCCACAUAUUUAAUUUUUAUAGCAUUUUUUUUUUCCCGGUUGUUAAGCUGAAACUAUAGUAUAAAUCAAGGAUCAAUUAAUAGUAAUAAUAAUAAUAAUAAUAAUAAUAAUAAUAAUAAUAGUUUAACAUAUUUUGAAGUAAAUACCUCUUUUAAUUUUCUAGAUUUCUUGGAUAAAAAAGUNAAUAAUAAUAAUAAUAAUAAUAGUUUAACAUAUUUUGAAGUAAAUACCUCUUUUAAUUUUCUAGAUUUCUUGGAUAAAAAAGUCUAAAUUUAUAUAACUUGCCCCGACUGUCAGUUAUUUUAAUCUGAUUAUCUAAUUUUAAAAAAUUUCAAUUUUGCUACAUAAUCUUUUAAUUUAUUUGAUUUGAAUCAACUAAUGAUUCUUUAGCUUUAAAAUUUUAAAUGUAUUUUUAAUUAUGCAAAUAUAAAUUUAUUAAAAUAAAUAAUUAUUCUAAAUUUUAUAUUAAAAAAGUAAUCAAAUCGCUUAAAUCAAAUAAAUUAAAUUGUGCGGCAACAUAAAUCUAUAUUCCCAUUUAAACCACACGUUUCGUAAAACCAAACGGGAAAAGCACCUCAAGUUUGAUUUUAGUAAUAAAUUGAUUUCAAAUUUGGGGAAUUAAAAACUAAAAAUCUUGCGAAAAGAAAAUUAAUAAAAUUUUAGUACUUCAAAAUAUAUCAUCUUUGGAUCCAAUCAAAUAAAAAAAAUGAUAAAAUUAAAAUAAAAAUGUAUGGAAACUCUCUCAACUGCGGUACAUAUCUAAUAGGUUCAACUUGCAUGCAAAAAGAACCUCUAAUUCAACAAGGGCAUAACAUACACAAUGUAUACAUACUAGUAAUAAACUCAUUUACUAAAAAUUAAUGUACCCUUUAAUAUCCGUAUUAAGAAAUAGCAACAUUUUGUUUAUUCAAACCAAACAAUCUUUUUUAGGCUCAUAACAUGUAUAGAGAACACUAUAAAAUUACAAACAAUCAAACCAAAUUACAAUUCUUGUCCGGAAAGCUAAAUAGCACCAACUUGAAAGAGAAGGCCACAAGUCCAUGAAUAAAAACUCUCACCGGUGCAUGUAGAUAUAUAAAAUUUGUUUUUUUCUGGAAAAAAAAGGGGAAAAAAAAAAGCUCUUCUCAAAGGGAAAUAGUGGUCACCAAAUAAGCUGAAAGAGAAUUAUUUUUAUGUGAGCUAUACUACACUUUGAGAUAAAUAACUGAACUUCAAAAAAUUUAAUUCUACUCUCUAACUUUUCUCCAUGUUUAUUAUAUUAAAUCCUUAUAGAAUGCAAAAGGAUACUUUAACCUUUUUGAUAAAAUAUUUUAAAAUUUAAUAAAAAAAUAUUUUUUUAUUUUAUGAAACAUUCUGCACUUCGUUUAACGGAAGAGUAAAGGAUCUAACAAAUCUUUCAAAGAAAAUUUCUUAUAUAAAAAUCGAAUUAAAAUCGAAAUUCAUAAAGCCCAAUUGGCCACUUUCAAAGUGCAGUGCAAUUUAGAUAAUAUCUAAUAUCUUUUUACCUCCAGAUAANACACACACACACACACACACACACACACACAUAAUAGGUCCAUCUUGCAUGCAUGCAAAAAAGAACCUCUAUUUAAACAAGGGCAUAACAUACACAAUAUACUAGUAAUAAACUCACUUACUAAAAAUUAAUGUACCCUUUAAUAUCCGUAUUAAAAAAGUAGCAACAUUUUGUUUAUUCAAACCAAACAAUCUUUUUUAAGCUCAUAAUUGUGUAGAGAACACCAUAAAAUUACAAACAAUCAAACCAUAUCAUAAAAUAGUACAUUCAGAAAUUUAAUUUAUAUCACGAAAAUACAUAUAUAUAUUAACCGACAAUAGCACACUACAACUCUUGUCCGGCAAGCUAAACAACACCAACCUGAAAGAGAAAACCACAAGUCCAUGAAUAAAAACUCUCACCAUUGCAUGUAGAUAUAUAAAAUUUGUUUAUUUUUGGCAAAACUAAGAAAAAAAAACCUCUUCUCAAAGGGGAAUAGCGGUCACCAAAGAAACUAAAAGAGAAUAAUCCUUACGUGAGCUAUACUACGCUUUGAGAUAAAUAACUGAACUUUAAAAAAUUUAAUUCUACUCUCUAACUUUCCGUCAUGUUUAUUAUGUUCCUUAUAGAAUUCGAAAGAAUACUUAGCAUUUUUUGAUAAAACAUUUUAAAAUUUGAUAAAAAAAUAUUUUUUAUUGUAUGAAAUAUUUUGCACUUUGUUUAAUGGAAGAGACUAAAUUUUAAAAGAAUCUACAAAUCUUUCGAAGAAAAUUUCUUUUAUCAAAAUGAGCAUAUAUAAGGUUUACGAAUUAAAAUCGAAAUUCGUAAAGCCCAGUUGCCCGCUUUCAAAGUGCAGUAUAGUUUAUGUAAUAUUUAAUAUCUUUUUACCUCCAAAUAAUAGGAACAUAUACUUAUGCUCUCCUCGCUAAUCAAUUCGAUCUGCUCCAACAAUUCCUCCAACUCUUCUUCUCCUCCUCUGACGAGCUGCUCACUAUGUCCUCAUAUCGGUAUUCCCUGCACCACAACAACGCAAAAUAGUAAAUUUUUUAUCCGAAGCUCGUGCAGCACGUGCUGUACAUUUUUCUUACACUUUCUAAUAAUGCAUGAUAUAUAAAAUACCUGAUUUCAAUUUGUAAAGAAAAAUAUUCCAGGACUCGAAUAGUGUAUCAACAAUAUGAUAGAAAAUGAUUACUCGGUAAAUACUAUAUAUCUUUUAAGUAGAAAUUUUCGGCAUCUCAAAUCGCUACAAAUUAAGAAAAGAUUAAAAUUUCAUUAUUUAGCCUAUAGACGUGCAAGAGACCGCUUGCAAAUUUUUUCAGGCAACAAACCAUGUUUUCGAAUAUCUUAGCUCCACUUUCACAUAGUUGAUAUUGAAACUGUGCAACAGCAAGCUGCUAUUGUUUCAAUUGUACAAAUUAGUAAAGUUGCAAUUGCUGCAAAAUUUGUGGAAAGAUAAUUCCCUCGUGUAAUCUAUGAACUACUUGUACAAGUAAAAUAUUUUGUUGAAUAGUAAUUUAGCAUAUCAAAACAGGAAGGAAUAAGAACAGGGUAAAACUAAACUUAAAAAUUAGAAUCACUCUGAAUAUAAAUAAAACAAAAUCUCACAAAUACAUAAAUGGAAGGUAGAAAUCAAAAUUAAUUCUCGAGAAAGUGAGGAUUGGAGAUUGUGACUAGCGAAUGGUNUUUUUUAUCCGACGCUCGUGCAACAUGUGCUGGACAUUUUGCUUAGACAUUUUAAUAAUGUAUGAUAUAUAAGAUACCUAAUUUCAAUUUGUAAAGAAAAAUAUCCAAGGACUCGAAAAUAAUUACUUUGUAAAUACUAUAUAUCGUUCAAGUAGAAAUUUUCUGGCAUUUCAAAUCGCUACAAAUUAAGAAAAGAUUAAAAUUUCAUUAAUUAGUCUAUGCACAUGCAAGAGACAACUUGAAAAUUUUUCCACGAAACCAACCAUGUUUUCGAAUAUCUUAAUUGCACUUUUGAUAUUGAAAUGUAGUUUAAUGUGUUUUAAUUUUGCCUCACUACGUUUUAAAUAGUUUUACUUGAAAAUCCUAUGAUUUUAUAUAUUUUUAGCAAGAACUUGCGGUCAAGUAAAAACUAAAGUGCUAAAAUUAUUUAUAAACUAUGGGAUAAUAAAAUGAUAUAUUUUAUAAAAUAAAAGGUGUCCGCCUAUAUCUAAAUAUAUUCUUUCAAAUAGUACUAUUAUGCUUUAUAAAAUAUACUACUUUACUAUCUUAUAAUUUAUAAAUUUUAGUACUUCAAUAUUUUUUGAUAGUAAGUCCUUACGGUGGAAUAAAGACACAACAAUAAAAUAGCAAAGUGAAAUAUUUUAUAGCAAAUGAAAAUGCACCGAGCCACGUCGGGGUGGGGCUAACCGAAGUUUUUCCAUCUGGAUUUAAAAAUAAAAAUUAAAGAAAGAGGUUGAUAUGCUAGCUACAAUAGAAUAUUAAGGUGCUAUCCAGCUAAUUAAUUAAAGAGUAGUCAAAAUAUGCUGCAUAAAUGAAACAAGAAAUAUUCACCAGUAGCUAUUAGAAGGGACUAUUAUUUUUUACUAGAAAUAUAAUAUUUUCUCUUUGAAUAUUCGUAUCUGCUGGCCAUGAAAACUUUCACCAGGUAUCAAUUACAACAAUUUGGAUAAAAGGCCGUGAAGCAAAGAAAAAUUCGGCGAAUUGGGGGUCAGGAGAACCAAAGAAUGCUGAGGCCACAAGGAGAUUGGAAGAAAAAGAAGGCCGUGAAGCGAGUGGUCUGGGCAGAUGAAGUCGGUAGGGAGUUAUUGGUGAGCAAGGUUCCCAUUAAUGGCGGAGUUUCGACGUUACCUGAUACUACAAGUUCCUUGGCUCGAGACGCACUUGAAGGAGUUACUGCUGAGUUACAAAGAGGAUACGGGGUAGGUGAGGGCGAUUCACCUGGCGAUCCUUGGAUGAGAAAUGUAAGGAGGGUGGGUGGAAGGUCCAAUUCUGUAUUUACUGAGGGUAGGUCCUAUAAAGAGGCGCUUCUGAGGGGUUCGGGACCACAACCCUCCAAGCCACCACCAAGUUCACAACACUCUUCCACCUUCUGGAGUACGAGGAGUAGCAAGUCCAGGAGAAGUGGCGGCAAGUGUUUCCGGUGCCUUGCUUCGGAUCACUGGGUAGCUGACUGCCGUGACCCUAUCAAGUGCAUCAGGUGCCACAAGUAUGGGCAUCGCGCCUCUAUCUGCAAGGAGAAAGCCGGACCAACUAGAGACAGGAUGAACAGGAUUCUACAGAGGCGAGAACGUACGCCGAGAGUGUACGUCCCUUAUACUCAAGAGUUUCUGCAAAGGAGGGAUCAACGCCGGAACGCGGUGCUGGCCGAUGUGAUCCAGCCGGCGAACUUAGGCCCUGAACCCACCUCUACCAUUGCCAAUGCGCUCGCCCGAAGGUUCGGGGGCUACACCCAAGACUUUCCGGUCUCCCGUUUUCGGGAGCGAGACUUUGCAAUUUUCCUCCCAGAAUGGGUGUCAGCGGAGGUGAUCGCUAGGAGGGAAAUACUCACCUUGGACGGCUUCUGGCUGCGAUGUUUUGCGUGGGGUCCUUACCGAGACGCGUGCCCACACCGAAUGGUAUAUCGAGCGUGGAUCAGGCUGAUUAACCUCCCAUUUGAAUGCUGGACCGUCCCUCAGGUGGCGGCGAUUGUGUGUGGGUUCGGAAGGUUCGUCAAGGCCGACGAGGUGACGAAGGCGAUGACGGACCUUCGGGCUUUCCGCUGCCAGAUUAUCCUGGACACACUGACCGACAUCCCGCAAAAUCUGUCGAUCGUCCUCGGAGAGGAACGUUUCCCGGUGAUGAUUCAUCUUGAAAGUUGGGAGCGGGCCAUCGACAAAGCUCGCGGUGACCCACCUGGCCCACCACCGGGGGGAAACGGCGAUGGCAACCAACAGGGUGAGGGGGAUCGGCCUGACAUUCAGGCCAACAUCGACCAAGAGAUGAACGAGGAAGCAACUGGUGAGGACGAAGGCGAGAUUGACGAUGACGGACCAGUAACUGCGCCGAGUCGACGUACAUCAAGCGGACUAGAGAAGCCGACAACCCUGUGUUCUCUGCCGUUCCGACGCUCCUCGCUUGGGCUGUUCGGGCCGCCUGCGCCGAGCCGCCGUUUAUCGGGUGGACCAGAGAAGCCAACACCGCAGUAUACUCUGCUGAUUCGGCGCCCCUCGCCUGGGCUGUUCGGGCAGGCGGUGACGACUGAACGGCGAGGGGGGGGAGCGGGCUGAGGUUGAUGAGGUCCGGAGGGGGCAGGCAGAGGUUGACGAGGGCGGAUCUGAGAAUAGGCCGAACCGCCGAUCGUCAGGUGGAUCUGAGGAGUCGCCGCCGCUGCGUUCGCCUGGGCUAGUAGGGCGGGCGGGGAGGCCUGGAACUCCUGUUUGGUCGCGCCAUCCACAGUGUUCUUCGCAAUGCUCCCCGCCUGCUCGGCGACCGCCGGUGAGGGCGCUAGGCUGGCUUCGGGACUGGCGAGUGCGAGGACCGAGGAGGGCCAGUGCAGGGCGCGUCAACCUAGGGCGCCGCCUGGGCGAUGGAUCAUGAAAUCCGGCGCUGUCUCACAGAGGGGAUUCGAAGGGAUGGGUGUAGUUCACUGUAUUCGGGGUCUUUCCCCACCCUUGCCAAAUUUAAUUAUGGCAGGGGUAGGGUCGGAUAGCUAUGAGAUGGGUAGGCCUUUAAUGCUUUGUAGGGGAGAUCAAGUGCUUCUGUGGGUAGGGGGAGCUCUUUUCAAAGUGGUGGUCAGCCCUUCUUUGGGAUUGCGUACCAACCUUGAGAACUGGGCCUCCUCUAUUGGGGUCAACAGGGGUGCAUUGCCAGCUAGUACACCGGGUGUUGGGGUGGCGGCCCACGACUCGAGCCUGGGGCUCGUGGACUGGUUCGUGACGACUGGAGGAGAUCAGAAUGGCCAAAGCUCUGUCCUUGGCGAGUGCACUAAGUCGUUGACUGAGGAAGGGGACGAAGCUGACCAUGCCAAGGAAAAGAGGUCCAACGGCUGGGAAGGGAUCUGGGCCUACUCCGGGAAAGGGUUAACCUCGUCGCCGAAGAAGACUUUAAUCACCCCUACUCGAGCUAGUGAGCGGCUCGCCUGUGCUGACAGGAUCCCUAUCCUUCGCAAAGCUCUAAACAGGAAGAAGCGGCUUCUAGAAGGAGGAGGUGGCAGGGUCUCCGAGAGCACGCUGCGGAAGAUAGUGCAUAAGAGCAAGCGUUGCGGGGUGAGACUGGACGGAACGGAGGCGAUGAACUUCGCCGAGUUUGAGAGCUUCUGAGCUCUGGAAGGGGCUAGUGGUCUAGGUUGUGGACACCUUUUGGUUUUAUUUUGGGAGUCGUGUCUACGUUAUUGUUAUGCUUAGUAUCUGUAGCUGGAAUGUUAGAGGGCUUAAUGAUCCCUCCAAACGCUUUGUGGUGCGGGAUGUAAUUUCGAAUUUACGCAACUCCGUAGUGUGUCUCCAGGAAUCUAAGGUUAAUCAUGUUUCGGGGUCUUUCCUCCGUAGCUUGGCAGGGUCCUUCAUCGACAAAUGUGUUUUUCUUGAAUCUAACGGUGCGUCCGACGGACUGAUUACUUGUUGGAGUUCCCGGGUCUUCAGUUGUAAAGAAGUAAUCGUCAGAAACUAUUCCAUCUCGGUUCUAUUGGAAUUGGUUAGCUGCGGAACACGUUUUUUUGUCACGAAUGUUUAUGGCCCGGCUUCUUGGGACGGCAAGGAGGACUUCUUUUCGGAAUUAUUGCUCUUGAAGGACUGUUGUAAGGGUAAAUGGGUAACGUGUGGGGAUUUUAAUUGUACGCGAGGACCACACGAGCGUAACGGAAAGACCUGGAGCUCGAGAGCGACGGUUUUAUUUAACAAUCUCAUCAGGGACCUCGAAUUAAUUGAUCUCCCCAUGACAAAUCAAGCGUUCACCUGGUCCAACCUUCAGAAGCCCCCGACCUUGGCUAGACUGGACCGAUUUCAUGUGUCAACUGAUUGGGAUCAGGAAUUUCCUUCUUCAAAAGUUAUCGGUCUCCCCAGAGUGGCCUCAGAUCACAGUCCCAUCCUUUUAUCGGUCACCAACCCUACGAAGAGGACGAGAUUGAUUUUCCGUUUUGAACAUGCCUGGCUUAACCACGAGGACUUUAGGUCCAAGCUGCCAGGAUGGUGGGAGGAGGGGCGUAAGCAUAGUUCAGCUGUUCUAACUUUCACCGCAAAAUUGAGACACUGCCGUAGAAGAAUUAUACAAUGGUGUACCCACGAAUUCUAUAGCAUUAGACGAGUUAAGAACAAACUCUUGGAAGACAUUCAGAACAUCGACAAAGAGAAAGAAACGAAUCUUUUAACCCAGGAGUUAGCCGUUACGAGGGAUGAGCUUAAGACAAAACUUGCCGCGGUGCUUAAAGACGAGGAAGUGCUAUGGAAAAGCAGAGCGAAACAACAUUGGCUACGGGAAGGUGAUAGCAAUACCAAAUUCUUCCAUGCCGUAGCCAACGGCCACAAAAGAACGAAUAGAAUUGACACUCUAGAUGAAGAAGGAAGGGUGUAUCAAUCGGAAGGCGAGAAGCAGAAGUUAAUCUUACAGAAGUUUAAGAAUCUCUUCACCCCUGAAGACUGGGCACCAUCCUCUUUUGGAGAUUGGAGUGAGCUCUUUUCAACAAGGCGGGUCGACUCUAGUAACCAUACGCACAUUACGAGACCUUUCGGUGUUGAAGAAGUGAAACAGGCUGUUUUCCAGCUAGGACGUGAUAAGGCGCCAGGGCCAGAUGGGUUCCCUCUGUGCUUCUACCAAAGCUUUUGGGAUACUCUUAAGGACGAUAUCAUGAACAUUUUCCACGAGAUGUUUGAGGGCACGCUAAACACCGNAGAUUCUCCUUGCUUGUUCUGUGAAUGGCCAGAUACGCAACCGACGCCGGGAGGCAAGGCUCUGGGCUGAACUGAGGACAUUCAUAUAGAAUCAAGUUAGCGAGACACGGAAAAAGGGGAACUCGCUCUCGCCUGCCUUCUUCGUCAUCCACCGUCAUUACCGUCACCCAUUCUCGCAGCAUUGGCAUGGAGCACAAGUCAAGGCUCGUCAGGGCAGGGAACUUACCUACGCCGCCCCCGCCCAAAUUUGUUACUGCGGGCAUAUUUUCCAUAUAUAGUCGUUCAAGAAAAGGGAGUUGCCCCAGCGGCGGGAGUGAGCUGCAUACAGGAAUAUUAUCAAGUUUGAUUUCAACGAGAUUUGGGAGGCACGAGCCAAUCCUAUUCAUCAUCCAGCUAGGAAACUUCCCGCCUCCAUAGCCUUGUAUUUCCAAUUUCUCUAGCUUUUGAUGUGGUUGAAGAUUUUCUAGCACGGUUUCCAUCUCUUCCGCCGGUUGUACAGUACUAUCCGUGCCUUCUUCCGCACUUAAAACGUUCCAUACCAACUUCAAAGACCGCAGGUUCUUCUCUAUCAAAUUUGCAGCCUUGGCAUCAACCGGACUCGUUACAUUUUCGAGACCCUUGAUCCACAGCUCGUCGACAAGCUUCAAGUGCUCUAGCUCAGAAAUGCUAGCACAGUGUUCGACGCGGUCUUGCUUGCCAACCACAAAAACCGGUAAUUUCUGCAAGCUAACUAACUUGCCGAUCCCUCGAGGCAUGCCCUUCAAUUCCGAGCAAUUGUUGUUUAGCAAGACUCUAAGUUUGGUCAGCUUUUGGAUCAUUUUAGGCAGCUCACAUAAUUUUUCACAACCACUGAUGUCGAGUUUCUCUAAAUGCAGAAGAUCACUUGACGAUGAGGGUAAUGGUAGUAGGGAAUAGCACCCAGAAAGGUUCAGAAUACGCAAGUUUUGAAGGCUUCCAAUGGAUUCAGGUAAUGUCACCAAAGAAUUUAGACAGUAUAGGUUUAAGUCAUGCAGGUUUUUGAGAUCACAUAACGAUGAGGGUAAUGAUUCUAGAGAAGAGCAGUUAGAAAGGUCCAGAAUACGCAAGUUUUGAAGGCUCCCAAUGGAUUCAGGUAAUGCUGCAAAAGAAUCUAGAUGUGAUAGGUCUAGGUAAUGCAG
This 21748-nucleotide long non-coding RNA is filed under the name Ananas comosus (pineapple). RNAcentral's name for it is "long non-coding RNA (ACOM_LNC007732)". The record is from RNAcentral. Lineage: Eukaryota; Viridiplantae; Streptophyta; Magnoliopsida; Poales; Bromeliaceae.